Molecule: long non-coding RNA, 571 nt
Organism: Microplitis mediator
Lineage: Eukaryota; Metazoa; Arthropoda; Insecta; Hymenoptera; Braconidae
Exons: 4
Source: RefSeq, a predicted model, not a curated record
UAGCUUUGUUGUCGAGCUGACAUUUGAAACAAUAAAUAAUGAAACUUAUAUCAGUAUAAUUGCUGCAAUAUUCUCUAUGAUAUUGGACAAGGUUGCUGCUGACGCAAAUGAGUUUUCAGGUAUAAAAAUGUCCAUUUUUCGGUGAUUGGUACGCAGAAGCUCACAGAAAUUCAACGAAGCAUUACUGGAUAUAAAAUAAAAAAAUGUCGAAAAUAAUUUUAUUAUUAUCAAUUUUCGUAUUGAUUGGUCUCUAUGUUGGUGCAGCUACAGCUGCAGGCUGUGAUGGCCAGUGGUGCCAUCCAUCAGAAGGAUACAAGUGUUGUGCAGGACAUUCAUGCAGUUCGUACGCUUGGCAAGGUAAAUGCAAAAAUGAUAAUCAAGCUGAAGCAGAUCAAAUGGCGGCAGCACCCACGGGAAAAUAAUUAUAACAUACAGUGAAGAUUAAUAAAUGCAUUGUAUCAAUUAAUAAAAAUCUCUUGUUGACAAACAAAACUUUACUGUACGUGUUUUCAUUCUCAAGAGAUGUUUCUGAUAUUCUUUAGAGGGAAUAAAAAAGAUCAUGCAAAGAUGG